RNAcentral lists this ribosomal RNA (295 nucleotides) under uncultured bacterium. RNAcentral describes it as "partial 16S ribosomal RNA". It matches the Rfam family "Bacterial small subunit ribosomal RNA", at positions 775 to 1067 of the family's 1533-position model. The record is from RNAcentral.
GGAUUAGAUACCCUGGUAGUCCACGCCGUAAACGAUGAGUGCUAGACGUCGGAAAUUAGUUUUCGGUGUCGUAGUUAACGCAUUAAGCACUCCGCCUGGGGAGUACGGUCGCAAGAUUAAAACUCAAAGGAAUUGACGGGGGCCCGCACAAGCGGUGGAGCAUGUGGUUUAAUUCGACGCAACGCGAAGAACCUUACCAGCUUUUGACAUGCUAGGUCGCGGAUUUUAGAGAUAAAAUCCUUCAGUUUUGCUGGACCUAGUACAGGUGCUGCAUGGCUGUCGUCAGCUCGUGCCG